RNAcentral lists this ribosomal RNA (169 nucleotides) under uncultured bacterium. RNAcentral's name for it is "partial 16S ribosomal RNA". It matches the Rfam family "Bacterial small subunit ribosomal RNA", at positions 337 to 522 of the family's 1533-position model. The record is from RNAcentral.
UCCUACGGGAGGCAGCAGUAAGGAAUCUUUCGCAAUGGGGGAAACCCUGACGAAGCAACACCGCGUGGAGGAUGAAGGCGUUUUCGUCGUGAACUCCUUUUCUGAGGGAAUAAUUCUGAAGGUACCUCAGGAAUAAGCAACGGCUAACUACGUGCCAGCAGCCGCGGUA